RNAcentral lists this ribosomal RNA (382 nucleotides) under uncultured bacterium. Its description in RNAcentral is "bacterial SSU rRNA". It matches the Rfam family "Bacterial small subunit ribosomal RNA", at positions 28 to 412 of the family's 1533-position model. The record is from RNAcentral.
GACGAACGCUGGCGGCGUGCUUAACACAUGCAAGUCGAGCGGUAAGGCCCUUUCGGGGGUACACGAGCGGCGAACGGGUGAGUAACACGUGGGUGACCUGCCCUUAGCUCUGGGAUAAGCCUGGGAAACUGGGUCUAAUACCGGAUAUGACUCCAUGACGCAUGUUGUGGGGUGGAAAGCCUUGUGCGGCUAGGGAUGGGCCUGCGGCCUAUCAGCUUGUUGGUGGGGUGAUGGCCUACCAAGGCGACGACGGGUAGCCGGCCUGAGAGGGCGACCGGCCACACUGGGACUGAGACACGGCCCAGACUCCUACGGGAGGCAGCAGUGGGGAAUCCUGCGCAAUGGGCGAAAGCCUGACGCAGCGACGCCGCGUGGGGAUGAC